Molecule: non-coding RNA, 106 nt
Organism: Helianthus annuus (common sunflower)
Lineage: Eukaryota; Viridiplantae; Streptophyta; Magnoliopsida; Asterales; Asteraceae
Source: Rfam
AUCCCAUGGUGAGGGCAAUUUUUAAUCAUCAUAUUAAAACGUUCAAAUGCCUCAUGGAACAUCUCACCAUGUUGUUGUUGGAAACUCCUCAACCCCUUUCUAGCAU